This 1427-nucleotide long non-coding RNA is filed under the name Serinus canaria (Common canary). RNAcentral's name for it is "lncRNA (ENSSCAG00000005142.1)". Lineage: Eukaryota; Metazoa; Chordata; Aves; Passeriformes; Fringillidae. The record is from RNAcentral.
ACAUGGGGGAGAUUCAUGUCCUUUUACUGAUGAAGAAUGGCUUGUAAAUGCAACGUGCCACCACUAGAACAUGUUUGUGGUUGGGAGGAGACCCUGUCUCGGAGUACUGCAGGCAUUGUCUGAAGAAGCCCCACACUUUUGUAAAAACAGCCUAAACAUUCAAAGAAAGUUCUUUGGAAGUAAAGAGUAAAGCAGAUGUCUGGGGGCUGGAGCCUGCGUGUUCAGAGCCGGCAGCCGAGCCUGCUGCGUGUUAACCAUCACGGUCCAGGCUGCCGCACGGAACAACAUUCGAGAGCAGCAGGGCGAAAAGAAAAGCUGGGAGCAAAGGGAAGCAGUAGGGACAGGCUCCAGUCCACCCUGCUCGCUGCACCACAACCCUCCCCAACCCACCGAGAUCAAACACACUUAAUAGAUACUUACAGCCCAUUUGAUAGCGCUGAUCCUGCGUCCCCUCGGUACCGUCUGUGCAGCGGGCUGCCAAGCAGGCACAUCUGGAUGUGGUGGAACACCGGCCUUGGCACGUCAGGAGAAACGUGUGACUUUGGGCAGAGCCCUGCUGGGCAGCCACCCUCAGGCUAGAUGCUGCUCUGGAGCUGGUGAUCACCAAAUGUGGCCAGAACUUCAGUGACCCCUGCUCUUCCUACUGCAGUUAAGUGUUCAUUGAAAGUCUCUGAGGCAGAUUCCAUCAAAAGUAUAUAUUUAUUUAUAAAAAAGAAUAAGGAAAAAAGUAUAUACCAAAGAGCUUUUUCUGUAAAAGACAAUUCCUUGGAGGCUGAAUGUCUUAGACCCAAGUAUGCCUGGCACUGCAGUCCAUGGCUGUAGAUGGCUGAUCCACAUUUGAUGCUGAAUAUCAUGGGAAUUUGGAAUCAGAUGGUUCAGCAAGGGAUUUUUCCACUGAAAACUAAGAGACAUUAACCACACAUCUCAUACAGGUUUCUGUUAGAGAUGUACAGCUAGCUCCCUUCAGGGGGUUUAAAAUUCAAUCCAGAGAGGAAAAAAAUACAUAUUUUUUUUACUCUAGGCCCUAAAUUGCUUCACUGUUUGAGUCCAUCUCCAUACAAAAGACACAUGGCCAGCCCCCUGUCCAGUGUAAAGCACCAGUGUCAUGCACACACUCCAAUAUGUGGGUCAGACUCAGAAAACCUCUUGAUCCCUCUUCUUGUACCUCCUUGGUUUAAGGGUACCAAAUACAAUAGCAGAGGUUCACCAGAAUUUUCAGUUUAACUAAAUCAUCAAUUUAAGUGAAUUUGAGGCUCCUCGUUCUGCCCAUGCUCUCUCCUGGUUUCAGAGUCUGUGGGCAGCUGUUGGGAUGUGGUUCCUUGGGAACAUAGAGGGGAGACAGUGACCCAGACAGCAGGACAGCUGCUCAGUGCUGAACCUGCCUUUGAAAUGAAAGGCAAAAUAAACAGAUCUUUUCCUUUGAGACA